Molecule: ribosomal RNA, 487 nt
Filed under: uncultured bacterium
Lineage: Bacteria
Description: partial 16S ribosomal RNA
Rfam family: Bacterial small subunit ribosomal RNA
Source: RNAcentral
GACGAACGCUGGCGGCGUGCCUAAUACAUGCAAGUCGAACGCUUCUUUCCUCCCGUUUUCUUGCACUCAAUUGGAAAGCGGAGUGGCGGACCGGUGAGUAACACGCCGGUAACUUACCCAACAGAGGGGGAUAACACGCUGAAACAGGUUCUAAUAUCGUACAACAUUUUAUGCCGCAGGGAGUAAGGGUGAAAGGGGCUUUACUGGGUGGUUAAGGGCUGGAUGCUCGGUUCAUUAGCUAGUUGGUGGGGGAGCGGCUUACCAAGGCCGAGAUGGAUAGGCGGCCUGGGAGGGUGACCGGCCACAUUGGGACUGCGGUACGGCCCAGACGGCUACGUGAGGCAGCAGUGGGGAAUAUUGCCCAAUGGGCGGAAGACUGAUGCAGCAACUUCGCGUGCGGAAUGACGGCUUUCGGGUUGGAAACCGCUUUCGCCUGUGACGAAGCGUGCGUGACGGUAAUUAGCAAAGAAGCACCGGCUAACUACGU